Molecule: non-coding RNA, 5400 nt
Organism: Paramormyrops kingsleyae
Lineage: Eukaryota; Metazoa; Chordata; Actinopteri; Osteoglossiformes; Mormyridae
Source: RefSeq, a predicted model, not a curated record
CUGCGAGAUACAGAAGGACUUCUGCUUCAAUGACGGGAGGUGUGACAUCAUCCCUGGCCAGGGGGCCUUCUGCAGGUGUCGGAUGGGGGGGAGCUGGUGGUCCUGGGGUAAGCACUGUGAGCAAUACAUGUCAGAGCCCCUGGUGAUGGGAAUCGCCAUCGUCUCCAUGUUCGGGCUCCUGCUGGCCUCCUCCACCGUCUUUUUCUUCCUGGCUCGGACGCUGCGUCACCAGUAUGAAAAGAUGGAGGUGGAGGAUCCCCAGAGGUGAGAACGUGUGUCACGUUCACAGGAAAUACAUGUUUAGAGGUUCAUUCCUGCUCAUGAAGACCUUUUCUUGUACCCUUGGCCACCGACUUGGCAAAAUUUCUGAACAGUGACAUGGAAAUGAAAUAAUAUCCAUAUUUUAUUCCUGCUUUGUCUUCAAAUAAAGUUUUUAGUGGAAAGGAUUGAUGAGUCUAGUGGCCUCCUGCCCUCACAGACUAUCGUAUGACAUGAAUGAUGGGUAAGAUGCUUACUGCAGCUGUAAGCCGCACCGUUAUGUAAUGUCAUUUUGUCGAGCCGUCUGGGUUUGGCUUUCACGUGACUUACUACUGUUAGUAUGCUCUAACUACGACCUUCUUAUGAACUAAAUAACUUCUAAUUCUGCUGCACACCAAGUACCUUAACAGCUGUAAAUUGAUACAUGUUAAGGUUACUGUUAUGUAAAGGGAAUAAUAAGGGUAAUGACUGACUGAUCUGAAGUUUUUUCAUCUGCUGGACUUUUUUCGUUGUGGCACCCUGGCAGAUUGCUGGGGCACAUAUGUCACUUGUCUGUGUGUAGAGGUGUGUUUUCCUGCCCUUGUGUCCCCCUCUUACCAUCGCUCUUUCAUACUGCGGUAUCCGGACUUUGUGUCACGGAGCAGUGCAUUUUCUUUUCACUCGUAGGGAAAGCAUGUUAUCCAUUGAUGGGCUCAUGAAGUAUAACCCUGUGUAUGAGAGUGACAUUGGCACAGGGGGCAGCCACUACUACCAGAACUUUUAUGAGCACUGUGAGGUUCCUGUUCAGGUAAGCCCACUGUCUGUGAAGUCCCUGUUCAUGUAACCCCAUUGGCUGUGAAGUCUCUGUUCAGGUAACCCCAUUGGCUGUGAAGUCUCUGUUCAGGUAACCCCAUUGGCUGUGAAGUCUCUGUUCAGGUAACCCCAUUGGCUGUGAAGUCCCUGUACAGGUAAGCCCACUGGCUGUGAAGUCCCUGUUCAGGUAAGACCCCUGACUCAUGCUGAGCUGUGUAAAGAGCCUGUUAAGCCCCACACUGCAGAAAGGUGAAUGGAAGGUUUUAACUCGUUCGGCAUAAUCCUAUACCAUAGUACUCAUAUCAGUUGCUGAACACCUUUAAUCUUCAAGUUUUUACUACUUGUCUAGAAGAGUAUUACAGAUUGGGUGUGUGUAUAUAUUUAUUGAUUGAUUUGUGCUUGAUUAAUUUGUGAUUAUUGGCACAGAAUUGUACCAUAUUCAAGUACAAGUGGACAGAAAACCAUUUAGCAAACAGCAAUAAUACAGCAUUCAUUCAUUCAACAGAAAGAGGACCACACAGUUCUCACAUCAAAGGCCUGACCUUUUCCCCUUCUGUUCUUGUAGGACUUUCCUGUACACCAUUCCUAAACCUCUGUGUUCUCCUCAUCCCUGCAGGAAAUUCAGGGUCAGCUACAGAUACUCAAGAUGUACACUAAGGACUGCCAGUUUACAGAAUUGACAGAGUGCCAGGAGUGAGUCUACUGUCACAGUGAAGUGAUGAGACUUUGAGGAGCGGGAACGGGGGGGGGACAGAGGAGGAGGCUGCAGGGUCAGACUGAUUCACAUUUUUCACCUGCCAGGAGGCUACAGACAAGUGGGUACAGUAUGUGGUUCAUAGGUUAGGACCCUGUGCCUAUGAUCAGAAGGUUGCUGGUUCAGAUAUCAUGGUCGGCUGAAUAGUUUCACUUCAAGUCCCUUGAGCACUGUCCCUCACUUCAGCUUCUCCAGGGAUGGGCAGCUCUGCUUUAUGAAUCGUAUAUUGCUUUGGAUGAAAAAGUAAAUGCACAGAUAUAGACGAAGGGUAAAGUGUCAGCCUUGAUAUAUAUCUCCUCUCUCUUUACCCGGACUAGAAAAUAUGUGUCUGUUUUUCCAUUCUCUACUCCUGCUGCAUGUGCAGAAACCAAAAAGAAUAAAAUAUCAAAAGAAAAUUAGGGGCAAAGGCAUUUAUGCCUCAGGUUAUUUAGGGAUAAUAAUAGGAUGGACCUGAAAUUCUGAAAUGGUGCGGUGAUGGUUGGAGCAGGACCAAGGACCAUUGCAUUAUGCAGUAAAUAGCAAAACAAAUGUUUAAAUAUUUAAAUAGCUGAACAUGUAUUAAAUUCCGGAGAUUUAUUACUUUUCAGAGUUGCCCACCAAACAUUACCUCUUGCUCUUGGCACUGGUUGGUUGUGUUUUCUUUGUUUCAGUUUUAUGGUUCAAAAACAGGUUCGGUGCUGGGCUGGCUUGAUUUGGGAGGGCAGGCAGAAAUUUUGGUUGGGCAUAAACCUUGUUUUCUGACCCAUUCCCAUUUGUGGAAAAAGCAAUCCUUAUAGUUUUACAUUUUUUCCUUUUACAGCAUUUUAUAGGAGAUUUAUAUGACCAAACUAGCCAAGCGAAACUGAAAUAAAAGGAUUUUUUUGUGAUUGGUUGAACACACCCAGGAGGGGCCCAAUGAAAAUGUCACUGAUGUGUGUGUCAUCUUGAAACAUCCCUUCCUUUGACCCGGCCAUGUCCAAAAAGGAGAAACUCAAUUGCCUUUAGCCAUUGAUAUAGUUUAUAUUCUGGACACAUAGCAUUCCAGGCAAAAAUAUCACUAACCCCAGACCUGAGGUUAAUUUCCCCACCAGCUGUAAACAAUGAAAGGGAAAAGCCAGACCUGAAACCAGCGCAGACGGAUUUGGGUCCGAAACUCGGAACAAAGACCAAAAGUGAAUCCAACUAGAAACCCAGAUGAUUUUGGACGGACUUUGAACUCAGACAGGGAAGAAGGAAGAGAGAGACAGGAAGACAAGGGGCGAUAUUUAUGUUCCUACUGUGACCCGCCUCAAGCGCUCAAGUAUUUGGUUCCUCAGGUUGCGUCUGAGGGAACCAAUUCACCAACAGACCAAAUCAGGGAGGCCUUCUUGUUUGCUAACAGGACCCUGAGUGUGCGAAGACAGAGAUGUCCCUUGGAGGCCCACCGCAAACAGCUUUUAUAAGCGUGAGCCACAAGGUGUUUUGUUUUUUUGUUAGAGGUCUAAUUAGUAUCUCCUCGUGUGACUGUUUCUCUUUAGCAUGUUAUGGCAUAAGGAGCAAACCAACUCAGGCAGGAAAGUCCAUUAAAUUCAGUUUACACUACCUUUCAUUUGUUCAUCACUCAUGUAAAACAGGCUAUUCAUAUAAUGAAAAAGUUUCAACUAAAUGCAAAUAUUAUAAUCAUAACAACUUGAUUCAUUCUUACUUUCAAAUUCCAUUGUUUUCUUUGUGCCAAGAUGUCAACCUGUUUUACUGUAGUGAAAUAAUCAUCUUAAUUACUACCGACCUGUUUACACUAAUCUCACAGUGGUAUCUGAGCUGGAUAUUCUGUACAACUUAAUUAAUUCCACAAGAACAGGAGGGACGGUGAAUGGACAGGAGAGGACUUUCUUAAACAUCACCAUCUCCCUCUUCAGUGCCACUUACAAAGGGCCUUGUGAUUUAAAUUUAAAAUUUAUCUUUGGAAGAGUAUGGAGCAAUUCUGAAAGUGAAGGAUAUUUAGUUUAAUUUUGAUUCUUACUUUUUCAUCGAGAUAUCUAGAUACUUAUUUUUUUUUUACAGUCAGUAGUUUAUUUUCACAAAGCUUCAGUAAAUCAUUCGACCGCGUUCCUCACUGUACGUGUCUGUGAAAUUCAUCCACCUGAUGUCUGGGACUUUGGUUCACGUUGUUCCCAGUUGAAGGAUGGGGAACCAGUGCCCUGAGCAACCACCUCCCCCCACUAAAUUCUUUGUUACUGUGUUGUCAGCGCCUUUCCUGAGUCUUCAUUUGUCCACUAAAGUUAUGGGGCAAUCAAACCUUGUUCUCAUGGGCAACCCUAAAAAUUGGAGACGUUUGUCAUGCCUCAGGGUACCUACAAGCAAAAUAAUUUAUGGUCUCAUCAUGACAGGAAUUGUAAUGCUUGUUAAAUUCUGAUUGUAACGUUCAAAAUACUGGCCGUCCCUGGGUUUAGAACGUCCAACCUAUGGACAACUCCUAUUUACAAACGGACUGCCGCGAAGCCUAUUAUAUUGGAAAUUUGGGUUAGAUAGAAUGGUUCAUAAUAAUGAAUGCAUGCACUCCUUUGUGGUGCUGAUGAGAAGCUUCAGUGGUUCGUCGGCUUGGGGUGCAGUACAGUACUGUAUCUAGGUACUUUUAUUACUAUUAUUAUUAUUAUUCUGUACUGUAUUAUUGUUCCAACUUACUUACAAAUUUGACUUAAAGACAGACUUAGGGAGCAGAUUUUGUUUGUAACCUGGGGGCUGCCUGUGGUUAUCUUUAAUAAUUAGUAGUUAAUUAUUUAAUGUAGAGUGGUAUACGAUAUAAUUCUGCUGUUAUCUGCAGCUGUGAAAAUGAGGAAAAUGUCACACGAAUGUCCGUUAGAAAUUUUCUUUAGAUGUGAUUAAUUGCUUUGAUUAUUGUCCUUAUUCAUUUUCUUGCAUGAAUGAGCUGAAUGGCCAUUAGCUUUUUCGCUGUGGUUUUGGAAGCUGAAUUGCUAAGCAAAAAGCAUAAACACAACAUCUCCCUCCUUCCAGCGUUUGCCAGAUGUUGAAGUCUGUUCACGACUGGAUGUUCAUGACUGGCAGAUCUGGUGCAGGUCCAACUUUCUGUCUUGCAAACCUGCCAUGUGUUUCUCUUGUUUUCGGUGUCAGUUUACAUUUUACAAAUGCAGACAAAAGCGAUGAUGAAACAAGCCAAAUAAUCAGACGCCCUUUGAAUUAAAACAUUUGUGCUUUCCCUUGUCUGCAUAAUCUCAGUCAGGAACCUUUCCACUGGGAAACAUUUCGUUUGUUUAUUUGAGGUGAAUGAUUAUUGCUGAGCUCUGCCUCGUCUCAGGAAGGUGAAUAUCACGGUUUACGAAAAAAGGUCCAACGGAGAGAUCAUUUCAGCCGCUCCCGACUUGUGAAUGUUAGCUCUCUCAUGUUUUUGGAACAUGUGCAUGUUAACAUUUUGACAUAUGAACGGAACUUCUUAAUGUGAAAGCGUGCAGAGAUAUCCAAAGCCCAUGUGUUAUCAUACAUCAUAAUCCAUGUUUUAGCCUGUUGACAAUAUAUGUCCUUCAACGAGAACUUUCACAUCUUCCUUAAAGCCAGAUGUUCACUGUAAUGUAUUUCAUAAAUGUGCCCCUUUUCCCUGUACAUUAAAUAGUAAUUUAAAAACA